CAGUAGCCGCGGUAAUACGAAGGGGGCUAGCGUUGCUCGGAAUGACUGGGCGUAAAGGGCGCGUAGGCGGUUCACGCAGUCAGAUGUGAAAUUCCUGGGCUUAACCUGGGGGCUGCAUUUGAGACGCGUGGGCUUGAGUGUGAAAGAGGGUCGUGGAAUUCCCAGUGUAGAGGUGAAAUUCGUAGAUAUUGGGAAGAACACCGGUGGCGAAGGCGGCGACCUGGUUCACAACUGACGCUGAGGCGCGAAAGCGUGGGGAGCAAACAGGAUUAGAUACCCCUGUAGUCCCUGUCUCUUAUAC
This 301-nucleotide ribosomal RNA is filed under the name uncultured bacterium. RNAcentral describes it as "partial 16S ribosomal RNA". It matches the Rfam family "Bacterial small subunit ribosomal RNA", at positions 509 to 807 of the family's 1533-position model. The record is from RNAcentral.